Molecule: long non-coding RNA, 2419 nt
Organism: Bacillus rossius redtenbacheri
Lineage: Eukaryota; Metazoa; Arthropoda; Insecta; Phasmatodea; Bacillidae
Exons: 3
Source: RefSeq, a predicted model, not a curated record
UGUUAUUGAAGCAACUCCGUGAUGGUGCUGGAAAUAGAAUAUUGUGGGCAUCAGGUUAUUUAUUUCCUCGUUUCCGUUUGUAUGUGAGCAAGUGCUGAUCUAAAAAAUGGUUGAUGAGUAAACCAAGAUAAUUUUGGAAGAUUAGGGUGUUUGCAGUUAAUUGGACUUGUUGCAGGGCAAUCUCUGCACAGAGGAAGAAAGUUUAGUUUUUUUUGUGGAUGCAGAGAUUUUCCUUAAAAAAUCAAAUAUCAUCACUGCUUUUUUCUGUAAUUUUUUCCUGCUGCACCAUAUUCAAUGCCUCAGUAACUGACAGUCACACAGAAAUUCAUCCAGAAGCGCAUGUUGAAAAUGAACCUACAUUAUGUCAUUAAGUUUUAUUUUUAUAAAUGGAUCUUAAUUCAUAAAUAUUGAAUUUAGUUAAUAAAUUUAAAAAAAAUAACUGGAUUAUUUAUUUAAUUUUAAGUUUAUUUAUGUAAUUAAAUUGACAACAUGCCCUCCAAAAGCCAUGGGCUUUAAAAGGUCAUUGCAUGUGUGUGUACCCAACCCUCGUCGGUACCGAGAGCAGCCAAACAACUACCUGGGGUAGGAACCCCAGCGGGUAGGCAUCAUCACAAGGCCUACAUAGCAGCAGCAUCUGGAUCAUGGCAAAACAGUUGUACAUAUUUAAGAUAAAUUCUAAUUGCAUCAAUAAUACCAAUUACAGAGUUGACGUAGCUUGGAUAACAUAAGAAAAUAUUUUAUUAUACCUUUUAUCGAUAACUAACAUUUAUUGCCAAGUUGAAAACUAAAUUUUUACUCACUUUUAUUAGCUUCACUUGUAGCUACGCAUUGGCAUGUAUUCAAUAGACGCUAGGUAAGCAGUGCUUACCCUGUUAUGUUGCUUGGCAUAAUGUAAUAUUUUUGGUAUGUGGUAAUCUCAUCUCGUGUGCUAAUGUAACAAUAUCAGUGCGCGUUAUGGAUUGAAUUGAAACAUCCUGCGUCCCUGCGAAGCGAUGCGAUCACCGUAGCGGGCGCGUCAGAUAGCGUGCCACCCAGUUUUCAUGGUAACGUGUAAACUGGAGGGGAAGGGUUCAUGUAUCUUCGUGAGACUACUUUGGUAAAUAUCGCGCAAGGUGCGCUGUUCUCACAGCAACUGGCCCUAGCGCGCGUCGGCAGGCAGUUGCAUUGUGUCGUUCAACAAACAAUCAAACAUAAUACAAAUAUUAUUCCUACAACGUACAAUGCAAGUUGUCAUUCCACAACACGUAUUUAAAAUAAACACACUGUCCGUUUUAUGACCAUUUUAUUCUGUUUUGUGUUUUCGUUUGAAGUGCUAACCAGUGUAAACUUCAUCUGCGACUGCUGUCUAUGUACCAACAAGGUAAGCUGUGAGUUCGGCAGCGUAUGCUGUCCAGGAUGAAGCAGGACUCUCAACCUGGCCACUGCGUUGUUUGCAAUGUUCUGAGUUCUGAUUUUAAUUCGUUUUCGAAACUGUUUAACUUUUGUCUUUACUAUAUAGAUUUAAAAUGGUGUAAAAAAUGAUCUCGACUGAUGUAAAAAAUCUCGUCAAGUUAAUUUUUGUGUACGCUUUAGUAAAAAUUUGAAAAAAUAGAAAAUGUUUCCUUAACGUUGUCUUUAUUUUCUAAUUUUAAAGUCGUUUAUAUAAAGUUUUUCCUCGACAUAUGUGAAAAAAACUCGUUAGGUUUACCCCGCAUAUACAUUCCAGCGUUUCUCAAUUUCCAUCUCAUUCCCCUAAUCGGCUUUUAGGACUUGAAACUGAAGCGCCGGAGCUCUGCCUAAGGAUAAGGCGGGCCUGCGUAUUAUAUUUUUGUGACCGUAUUUGUAUGUUUUGUUACAUAAUAUACAACCCUAUAUUCAUAUUUCAGUAUAACUUUAAUAGUUUCUGUCUCAGAAAAGUUAAUAAUUUUGCUCCUGGUUGUAGCAGCUGGAGUUAUUUGACAGGUACAAAAAUUUAUACUUAGAAUAAAGUGCAUCUUAUACUUCUACCAGGAAAACUGCAAAAAUAGCCCCAUUUUGCACCUAGAAAUUCAAAUUAUUUUAAGGUUGAGAAUGGGUGAGACAGCUUACCCACACAAUUAUUCCACCACAUGCCUUUGUAACUACGUAAUAAAAUCUUGCAAGUCAAUAUAACCUAAUUCUAAUUCUCAUGUUGAACUAAAAUUUUGAAUUUAUACUCAGAUGAUAAUACAGUAAUUUUAUAACUGACCAGAAAAAAGGAAAGGACAAAGGGGGCAUAAGAGCAAAUAAACCCUACUUUUUUGCUAUAGGCAAUAACCAUUUUUUUUGUAUAUUCAUGAGUCCUGCUAUGGUGGGAAAUAUGCCAAAAGUCGACUGGCCCCACAACUGUGGGGAGAGGGGUUCAAAACCACAAAAUUUUGAAAAAUUUAAAAAAAAUUAUUCUUUUUUAAUUUGGAGUGUU